UUUUUCUGUGUUCUUGCUAGCGAGCAAGUGCUGCACCGAUCUAGGGAUUUUUGCUAUCUGCAACUCCACAAAAUCUGCACAAAUCUUUUGGGUAGCUCAAAUUAGGGAUGAAAAUGGUGGCUCAAAGUGAUUUUUUGGAUAAUUUCAGCAAGAUGGCAGUGGAGAGAAGAAUAAGAUGAUAGUGUCCAAAACUGGCAAGAAGAGGGAAAGAAAUUUUUGUC
RNAcentral lists this long non-coding RNA (221 nucleotides) under Coffea arabica (coffee). Its description in RNAcentral is "long non-coding RNA (CARA_LNC007106)". Lineage: Eukaryota; Viridiplantae; Streptophyta; Magnoliopsida; Gentianales; Rubiaceae. The record is from RNAcentral.